AGAGUUGUCAAGCGGGCCGCUAGC
Molecule: non-coding RNA, 24 nt
Filed under: Arabidopsis thaliana (thale cress)
Lineage: Eukaryota; Viridiplantae; Streptophyta; Magnoliopsida; Brassicales; Brassicaceae
Source: RNAcentral